Molecule: long non-coding RNA, 605 nt
Organism: Suricata suricatta (meerkat)
Lineage: Eukaryota; Metazoa; Chordata; Mammalia; Carnivora; Herpestidae
Exons: 3
Source: RefSeq, a predicted model, not a curated record
AGGAGAUCUGGACACAGAGAGACACUCACAUGGGGAGUAUACCAUGUGAAGGUGGAGGCAGAGUGCGGAUUGACGCAUCUGCAAGGCAAAGAAGGCUACAGACUGCCACCAAACCACCGGGACCUACGAGACAGAUUCCACAAGCGACAGGUCUCACAAGCGACAAACCCUGCAGACACCUUGAUCUCAGACUUCUAGCCUCUCAAACUGUGAGACAACACAUUUCCAUGAAGUCACCCAGUUUGUAACACAUCGUUAGGGCAGCCUCAGGAAACGAAUACAUGGAUGCCCUAACCCAGGGCUUGGCACCUGCUCCUUUGCACAGGAAUACCCUUGCUGCUUUCUCCUUGGUUACUAGAACCUACAUUUUAUUGUGAUGCCUCAAUACAUGCAGAAAGGAAUCUACAAGAGCACAUUUCAAUCAAGCUGUUGUUUAGAUUUUUUAAGAAAUCUGAACACUUUGCGUAGAGCAUCACUAAACAGAAAACCUGGUGUAUAAAGAACGAUUUGAUGCAAGGCUUUUCUGAUUAUACAAGUGAUGCAGGUUCCUUGAAGAAAAUCUGGAAAACACAGCAGAAAAUAAAAACGAAAUUAUGAACGGUUAA